This 215-nucleotide long non-coding RNA is filed under the name Homo sapiens (human). RNAcentral's name for it is "HSALNT0345542". The record is from RNAcentral. Lineage: Eukaryota; Metazoa; Chordata; Mammalia; Primates; Hominidae.
GCGAUUCUCUUGCCUUAGCCUCCUGAGUAGCUGGGAUUACAGGAGACCCCAGGAACUGAAGUGGCAAGGGUGAAUCCUGUGAGACGAUGAGGAAUGAGACCAGGCUGAAGUGUGAGAUGCAGUAGCCCUCCUCCACCUCCACCAGAAGGCAGGGGUGGAAUAAGAGCUGAAAGACGGAGUCUCAUUCUGUCGCCCAGGCUGGAGUGAGUGGCGUG